GACGAACGCUGGCGGCGUGCUUCAUACAUGCAAGUCGAACGAGAAGCUGACUUCGGUCAGUGGAGAGUGGCGGACGGGUGAGUAAUAUGUAGGAAAUCUGCCUUUAGGAGGGGGACAACAGAGGGAAACUUCUGCUAAUACCCCAUAUAAGCGUAGCUGAAAUGCUAUUCUUGAAAACUCCGGUGCCUAAAGAUGAGCCUGCAUCUGAUUAGCUAGUUGGUAGUGUAAUGGACUACCAAGGCGACGAUCAGUAGCUGGUUUGAGAGGAUGAUCAGCCACAAUGGGACUGAGACACGGCCCGUACUCCUACGGGAGGCAGGAGUAGGUAAUUUUGCGAAAUGGGCGAAAGCCUGACGCAGCAACGCCGCGUGAACGAUUAAGCCCUUCGGGGUGUAAAGUUCUGUCAGUGGGGACGAAACUUGACGGUACCCACAGAGGAAGCACCGGCUAACUCCGUG
Molecule: ribosomal RNA, 458 nt
Filed under: uncultured bacterium
Lineage: Bacteria
Description: partial 16S ribosomal RNA
Rfam family: Bacterial small subunit ribosomal RNA
Source: RNAcentral